GCACUCUAGCUCAGUGAGUAGAGCAGGAGACUCUUAAUCUCUGGAUCGUGGGUUUGAAUCCCACGUUGGGCA
Molecule: non-coding RNA, 72 nt
Organism: Podarcis lilfordi (Lilford's wall lizard)
Lineage: Eukaryota; Metazoa; Chordata; Lepidosauria; Squamata; Lacertidae
Source: the annotation of a GenBank genome assembly